CAGUGAAGUGAUUGAUGAUACAGAGUGUUGAAAGGUAAUACACAGUGGUGAUACAUAUAAAGGGUAGGGUGAUUGAUGAUACAGAGUGGUGAAAGAUAUAUACACUAUGAGGAUUGAUGAAACAGAGUGGUGAUAGAUACAUACAGAGAGGUGAUAGCUAUAUACAGUGUGGUAAUUGGUGAUACAGAGUGGGGAUAGAUGUCUAGUGUGGUGAUAGAGAAGUGGUGAUAGAUAUAUACAGAGAGGUGAUAGCUAUAUACAGUGUGGUAAUUGGUGAUACAGAGUGGGGAUAGAUGUCUAGUAUGGUGAUAGAGAUAAACAAUAUAGUGACUGAUGAUACAGAGUGGUGAAAAAUAUAUUCAGUUUGGUGAUUGAUGAUACAGAGUGGUGAUAGAUAUAUACAGUAAGGUUAUUAAUUAUACAGAGUGGUGAUAGAUAUGUAGAGUGUGGUCAUAGAUAUCUAUUCCUCAAUUUGGUGUCCUACAGAUACAGUCCUACAUAUAUCGCUAGGCUGUAUUUAUAUACUAUCCAGAUAUCAGUCAUGUGGUGUGCUUUAAUAUGUUCUGUUUGUUUUUCAAAUAUCUCUAUAUAGCAAUAAGAAUCCCACCCAUUUUCUGAAAAGAUACACACACAAACACCAGUCUUUU
Molecule: long non-coding RNA, 647 nt
Filed under: Mytilus galloprovincialis (Mediterranean mussel)
Lineage: Eukaryota; Metazoa; Mollusca; Bivalvia; Mytilida; Mytilidae
Source: RNAcentral